UUUUUUAUAUUCUUAUUUUAGGACACGUGUUUCUGUGAGUUCAUUAUCACUUUUUGCUUCUCAUCUUCUAUGUUCUUCAAUCACACUCUCACGCACUUGCAUCCUCCAUCUUCUCUACUAUGAUUCUCAGGUAUAUGGAGCAGAUACAACACGACGAUACUCCUAGAUCCUACAUAGCCACAAGCUACCACAUUAGCUGCAUGGGCCAAAACAAUUUAACAAUUGCUGAUUGAGUAAACAACAAAGAUCACACCCCCAGAAGGCACUCUUCUUUUUGUUCCCUUUGAAAAAGAACCAAUACUCAUAUUUGAUAUCCAAACGCAGCCGCAGAGGCAAAUAUUCUACAUUGAUGGUGAACUCUCACUGAUAAUGAGGACCAACAUUUCUGUUCAAUGGCUUGCUCAAAUUAAUCCAAUUCGAAGUUAUGGUCACCGAUCACACUGGUUCCACAAUAGCCUCCAUUUCAGAUCAAUCAACAGAGAAGAUGUUAAACCUCACAGUACAAGAGAUUUAUGACGUCUGCCGUGCAAAGAGAAAAGCGCUACUUCUUGACAAUGCGCAUAGACAAUUAAGAGCAUAGACUUUCAGAAUCCAAAUGAAAAGAUUAUUUUCCAAAAUUUUGGACAAGCUAGCUCUUCUGAAUUAUGAGGAAAAAGAAUCUGCCAACCAGCCAUUACCAACUGCAGUAAUGAUGGGCAUCGCGGAAGCAAGCAAGCACAAGGUUAUGGAGAUCGUCUCAGAACUAAGGAACCAACAAAACCUGCCCGCCAAAGACAAACCUUCCAGCAGUAAACAUAAAAUCAAAAUCAGGGCCCCUAUCAAAAGGGACAGAAAGGUGCUCGAAAUGUAAGUCUCACAACAUCACUCAUAACUGCAUUUUCUACUACCUCUGUAACUUGACUUGAGCAAACUUAGAAUGAGAUGGCUGCCAAUACCCAAAAAAAACCUCACAUAAGCUCCCUUACUUGAAUAUGAGUAAUUUUUUUUUUUUUACAAAAUACCCAAUGAAUCCCACAAUGUGGGGUCUGGGGAAGGUAGAGUGUACGUAGACCUUACCUCUACAUUAGGUAGGGAGGCUGUUUCCGGAAGACUCUCGGCUCAAGAAAAGGAAUAGGAAAGGUUAGAUACGGGCAAACAAUUCAAAGCAAUUAAGAAAAUGAAAACAACCAAAGUGAAUAAGCCAUGAUAAACCAUUCUGUGCAAAUAGAUACUCGCAGAAAUCAAGGGAUAAGAAACUAAAGAUCAAUGCAGCUACUCGCAAGAAAGGAUAAAUGCGACUACCUACUAGCCUUCUACCCUGAUCUGAGUCCUCCAAACCCUCCUAUCUAAGGUCAUGUCCUCAGUAAGCUAGAGAUGCGCCAUGUCCUGUCUAAUCACCUCUCCCCAAUACUUCUUCGGCCUACCUCUACCUCUUCUGAAACCGUCCAUAGCUAGCCUCUCGAACCUCCGCACUGGGGCAUUUGCGUCUCUCCGCAUCACAUGCCCAAACCAUCUCAGCCUCGCUUCCCGCAUUUUGUCCUCCAUCGAGGCUACUCCUACUUCGUCUCGGAUAACUUCAUUCCUACUCCUAUCGCUCCUAAUGUUCCCACACAUCCAUCGCAGCAUUCUCAUUUCCGCCACUUUCAUUUUCUGAACGUGAGACUUCUUGACUGGCCAACAUCCGCCCCAUACAACAUAGUAGGUCUAUCCACCACUUUUUAGAACUUGUAUUUAAGUUUUGGUGGCACCUUCUUGUCGCACAACACUAUAUAACACAUAAAAAAUAGAAACAAGAUGUACUAUGAAAAUAUAAAGAGUUAUCAAGAAUCAGACUGGCACCGUCUCUCCACAGUCCAUAGAGCUUUGUUCUUUGAAAGGACCAUUUCAUGAGUUUUAUUAGCCUAAAAAUAAUUCACUAAACAAAUAUUUAUUGUGUCCACUUACUGAGAGUUGCAUUUAAGCUUGUAAAUAUGAAAAAUGUCCUUUAAAAUUUACAUUUCCAUUUUUCAGUGAGCCAGCUUCUAUUGUGUAAAAAUCUAACACACUUUUCUUUAAUUAUAUUUUUAUAUUUGAACUGAAGCACUUUAUGUUUGCCAAUUUUAAUACAUAUGAAUUUCAUGCCUCUACACAAUAUUUUAACUCAGUGGAUGUAAGUCAUCGGUUCAAAUCCGACAAAGGGCUUUGAAAUCUGUUUAUGAGUGGUGGUAAAUAAGAGUGCAACAACGGCUUUGUUCGUAAGGUUCAUGAUCUCUCACUAGAUCAUAAUUCAUAAGUGCAAAUUAUUGUAGGACAAAGUAGUGUUUAAUAGUCCCUGCACCAACAUCAUUCCUUCUUAGUCUACAAAGAUGUGAUUAUGCCUGGUAGAUUUGAACGAAUGCAUUUGCUUUAAUCCUUUAUUUAUAGCAUUGCUAAGUAGUCAUUAAGUUAAGAAAAUUAUUCAAUUUCUCUUCCUUUUUGCGUACUUCAAAUUUAUUGUUGUCAUUCUAACACAGAGCUGAGUACCUCAAGAUGAAGAAGUGUUUUUGCCCAAUUGUAUAGUUGUGAUGGUUGGUCUUUGUUUCAUUUCCCUCAUAGAUUUUAAUCUCACCUCCUUUAUUUUAUUCUUAGAAAUAUCAAUGUUAAUUUAACUUGCAGGAAUGUAUGUUUAGCUACUUGAUACGCUCAAAUUACACUUUUUAAUGGCAUAACGCGGACGUUGUCAAAUAUAGUAACCCAACAAGGUUGGGGUCGAAUCCCACAGAGAACAAUAUGUAGACAUUUAAGCAGAUUAAGAAUUAUCACCAACAAUAGCUAGGCCGAACGCAUCAAUGGUGGUUUUUAAAUAUGACUUUGAUAAAAUACGAAAAUAUACAAUCUAAUCUAGAAAGCAAGUAAAUUGAUCAAUGGCCACAAGAAUGGAAUAAAGGAAACUACUUCUCAAGUAACGAUCCAAUAUAUUUCACGAAUUACAGAUAAUGGUAAUAUUAUGUUAAUUAGCCUCGGAUAAUGACUCUAAAUUAACUUCUCCCGAAGAUUAACUAGACUACCUAAUUGAAUAUCCCUAAAGCAAUUAGGAGCAUUAAGAACAUCGGCCUAUGGCUACAAGUGGUAUCACCUAUUCCUAGGUCAAUUUCCUUUAGAUGAGGGUUAACGCCCCAAAUUCAUGUUAAUUAUUCUAUCCCAAUCCCGUUCUUCCUCUUCCGAGUUUCAAACAAAGUAAAUGGGUGAGUCUUAGGGUUAGCUACUCCCUUGAGAAACGUUGAAGGACAAGAAUAAUUAAAAUAACAAUAACUUACUUGAUUAAAAAUAAUGUCGAUCAAUAAAUAAGCACAACAAGAGUUUCAAUCUCAAUUGUCACCAAGAAAUUCCCAUAAACAAGAUUUGAAUAAAAGAAAGAAAAUAUAUGUAGGAACCCUAGCCUCCAAACUUGUGUUUUAUGCCAAAGAUGUCUAAGAAUGGUGGCUUAUGAAAUAUUUAAAGAUGUAGGAAAAAGCCCAAAAAAAUAACUGAAUCCAAAAUAAAUUGGGAGAAUUUUUAGUCCCAUCCCAACUCAAAUAGAGAAACUGGUCCAAAGUCAGCAACAGAAGAAUCCUUGCGCCGCACAAGCUAAGGCGUAACCUGAAGUCCUUCGUACACUGAUCCUUGCGUUGCUGUACUCCCACUGAACUGUGCAUUUUUUGUCAUCAUGUACGAUGACGACAAACGAUGGAAACUGUGCUUAAAAUGAUUGGAAUUCGUAGCAUAUGUCGAUUAGAUGAGGUGACGAGUCGAAGACCACAAAGGAUGAACUAAAAGGAGAUUAAAUCGACUGAAGAAACCUCGCUUUUCUUCCGCAUCGCGGGAAGCCUCAGAACAUCAGGCCAUCCAAUCGCAUCGCGUGAAGAAAGCGGACCAACCAACUCAGUCAUCACCAUCUCGCGAUCCUUCCGCAUCGCGGAAGGAAAGCGAGAACCCUCAGUACAUUGCGCGAUCCUUCCGCGAUGCGGAAGGAAAGCGGGGUUCUGCAGAAGUUAUCUCGAUUAGACUAGGAUUUGGAUUCCUUAUUUGUUAUUUUUACCCUAGCCUAUAUAUAGACGUUUUAAUAGCUGAGAACGGUGUGCUGGGAUUAUUCAAGGAUUUGUAAGCCACCGUUCUAUUUUUCUCUCUCUAGGUUUAUUUUCUUUUUCAACCCUAGUUUAUUCAUGGAUUCUUUUGUCUAUGAUUGAAUCAUGAGUAGCUAAUCUCUUAAUUCUAGGGUUGUGGCGAAAGACUUGAAAGUUGGUUUGAUGACAAUUAUUAUCUAUUGAUUUUCCAUAUUUUGGGUUGCUUGUUUAUUCUUGAUCUUAAUUUGUUUGAUUAUCUGGCCAAUAGUUAGACAUUAUCUGUGGUGCGUGAAUUGAACUUGAGAAAGGGAAUUUACGUACGUAAUAAGAAUAAAUAGAGUUUGUUCGAUUUAAUCGUUUUGCUACUGAGGAUAGAGAUAUACCCUUUAGCCCUACUUAGUUGAAUACAGUGAAAUAAAUGCGUUCUUGUUACCUCUGAUGACCAUAGAGAUAUAGGCGUUAUAGUAACAUCUACAGACUUGUGAGAAGUUCGAGAGAACAUCAUAAAGUAUAAUUAACCCGUCAACUAGUAACCCAGGAACUGAAAUAGGUGGAAUUGUCCGAAGAUCAACUGGCUUGUCGAAAGCCAUGACCCUAGAUCUUUC
This is a long non-coding RNA of Lycium barbarum (goji berry), 4645 nucleotides long. RefSeq lists it as uncharacterized. Lineage: Eukaryota; Viridiplantae; Streptophyta; Magnoliopsida; Solanales; Solanaceae. The record is from RefSeq and is a predicted model, not a curated record. The transcript has 7 exons.